CCUACGGGUGGCAGCAGUGAGGAAUAUUGGUCAAUGGACGAAAGUCUGAACCAGCCAUGCCGCGUGAAGGAUGACUGCUCUAUGGGUUGUAAACUUCUUUUAUACGAGAGUAAAACAAGACACGUGUACCUUUUUGCAAGUAGUUUACGAAUAAGGAUCGGCUAACUCCGUGCCAGCAGCCGCGGUAAUACGGAGGAUCCGAGCGUUAUCCGGAUUUAUUGGGUUUAAAGGGAGCGUAGAUGGGUUGUUAAGUCAGUUGUGAAAGUUUGGGGCUCAACCGUGAAACUGCAUAUGAUACUGGCAGACUAGAGUAUAGUUGGGGUAGGCGGAAUGCGUGGUGUAGCGGUGAAAUGCUUAGAUAUCAUGCAGAACACCGAUUGCGAAGGCAGCUUACUAAACUGUGACUGACGUUGAGGCACGAAAGCGUGGGUAGCAAACAGGAUUAGAUACCCUAGUAGUC
Molecule: ribosomal RNA, 460 nt
Filed under: uncultured bacterium
Lineage: Bacteria
Description: partial 16S ribosomal RNA
Rfam family: Bacterial small subunit ribosomal RNA
Source: RNAcentral